This 76-nucleotide transfer RNA is filed under the name Candidatus Fraserbacteria bacterium RBG_16_55_9. Its description in RNAcentral is "tRNA-Ala". It matches the Rfam family "tRNA". Rfam says of the family: Transfer RNA (tRNA) molecules are approximately 80 nucleotides in length. Lineage: Bacteria; Candidatus Fraseribacteriota. The record is from RNAcentral.
GGGGGCGUAGCUCAGUUGGGAGAGCGCCUGCUUUGCAAGCAGGAGGUCGCCGGUUCGAGCCCGGUCGUCUCCACCA